GUGUCAGCAGCCGCGGUAAUACGGAGGGGGCGAGCGUUGUUCGGAAUCAUUGGGCGUAAAGCGUAUGUAGGCGGCCUGACAAGUCGGGCGUGCAAGCCCGGGGCUCAACCCCGGAAUUGCGCUCGAAACUGUCCGGCUUGAGUGCAGGAGAGGAAAGCGGAAUUCCCAGUGUAGCGGUGAAAUGCGUUGAUAUUGGGAAGAACACCGGUGGCGGAGGCGGCUUUCUGGCCUGCAACUGACGCUGAGAUACGAAAGCCAGGGGAGCGAACGGGAUUAGAUACCCCGGUAGUCCUGGCCGUAAACGAUGGGCACUAGGUGUAGGGGGUGUCGAUCCCCUCUGUGCCGCAGCUAACGCAUUAAGUGCCCCGCCUGGGGAGUACGGUCGCAAGGCUGAAACUUAAAUGAAUUGACGGGG
RNAcentral lists this ribosomal RNA (415 nucleotides) under uncultured prokaryote. Its description in RNAcentral is "bacterial SSU rRNA". It matches the Rfam family "Bacterial small subunit ribosomal RNA", at positions 505 to 918 of the family's 1533-position model. The record is from RNAcentral.